CCCUAUUUGCAUCUCUCCCUUGUAAACAACACCAAAUGCCCCUCUUCCAAGUUCUUGCUUGAAAUCAUUUGUAGCUCUUGCAAGCUCUUUGUAUGUAAAACAAUGCACAUUUGUUUCCACAGAGAUCCUNNNNNNUUUUUCUAAGUUUCCUUAGGUAGAAGAAAAACCUGAGACAAAACACAAAGUUGAUAAACACAGAGCUACCCAAGAGAACAGAUUCUGCGAUGAUUACAGCCCUCCAG
RNAcentral lists this unclassified non-coding RNA (242 nucleotides) under Hevea brasiliensis (rubber tree). Lineage: Eukaryota; Viridiplantae; Streptophyta; Magnoliopsida; Malpighiales; Euphorbiaceae. The record is from RNAcentral.